This 884-nucleotide long non-coding RNA is filed under the name Equus caballus (horse). RNAcentral's name for it is "lncRNA (ENSECAG00000048466.1)". The record is from RNAcentral. Lineage: Eukaryota; Metazoa; Chordata; Mammalia; Perissodactyla; Equidae.
CUGACGGAUGUGUAGCUUAAGGGAGAAAUAGCCCUUUAGCAAGGGAAGAGGCUGGGAUGUGGGAGAUAUUUGUUACUGCAGAAAAAGCCUAGCCUAUUUGCCCCAAGGAAUGUCUUCAGAAUUCAGUUCCACGAGCAGCACUUGAUUGUGAAGUUCACGUCCAGCACUUUCUCCCCGCCUUUGGCAGAUGAAAUGCGACAGCACUGCUCUCUGUAGUCUGGCCACCGCCUGUGUAUGGUACUGAUUUCUCCAGGAACCAGAAAUCACUUGAAUGUUUAAUACAGAAGGCCUUUCAUGGAGACAAUUGGAUACAGAGGUGAUAGAAGGGCUGAGAUGCCAGGCAGGGGGCAGUGCAGCAACCAGAGACCAGAGGAGUGGGAAGCCCCUACCAGGCUAAAGGGACAAAGGCAGAAGAGGGUACAAUUGGAGCCCAGGGACUCGGACCCCCUGAGGCAGCUGGAACCAAGGUGGGCCUGUCUGGAGUGAACCAGAGGCGGGAAGGAAAUGCAGGCCCUGAGGGAGAGGCUCGGGAGAGACGCCCUGGCUGCUCUCUCUUCCUGCGUUUCAGGAUCUUGCCCAUGCCUCCCGUCAGCCACUGCCUCAAGAAGCAAGCUGAAGCGGGAGCCUGGAAAGCAGAGCCUGCAGGCUUCGCUGUGAUGGAGAACAGAGCAAGGGAUGGGGAGGGGGGCACCUGGGGGCAAACGGGCUCAGGAUGGAACCUCCCCCUACCUUCUGCCUCUGAAGUCAAAAGGCAGGUAGUGCCAUUGAGAGUUGGGCAAGAAUGGACAGUAGAGGCAAGCAACCCCUAUGAUUUAUUGUCUUAGCACAAUAAGAACUUAUUCUUCUCUCACAGGGCGGUCUGAGGCAGCUGUUCCUGAUUGGUG